UACGGAGGGGGCUAGCGUUGUUCGGAAUUACUGGGCGUAAGCGCACGUAGGCGGCUUUGCAAGUUUAGAGGUGAAAGCCCGGGGCUCAACUCCGGAAUUGCCUUUAAAACUGCAUCGCUAGAGUUGUGGAGAGGUAAGUGGAAUUCCGAGUGUAGAGGUGAAAUUCGUAGAUAUUCGGAAGAACACCAGUGGCGAAGGCGACUUACUGGACACAUACUGACGCUGAGGUGCGAAAAGCGUGGGGGAGCAAACAGGAUUAGAAAACCCCCUG
RNAcentral lists this ribosomal RNA (271 nucleotides) under uncultured bacterium. RNAcentral describes it as "partial 16S ribosomal RNA". It matches the Rfam family "Bacterial small subunit ribosomal RNA", at positions 524 to 789 of the family's 1533-position model. The record is from RNAcentral.